AAGCUGGUCGAGUCUGGCCUUAACCGCUGGGAAAUCGGCGAGAUCGCGAGCCGAUCCAUUCUUGAGACGGCUCAUCCUCAGAUUCCAGAUUCAUCUUGCCGGUCCGUAUUAGACGCUUUCUGCCGUUCGGAAGAUCUUGAAUCUAGCCUGCCCCUCUGCUUUCCCGGCCUCCCGGGCUCCGUCUCGUCGGGGUCUGAACCCGUGAAAUCUGUUCUUCGCCGACUGGCCGGCCGACCACCUGGGAGUAACCGAAUGUUUCAGAUUCUGACAAGGACAUAGUCUGACAAGGACAUAAACUGAUAGUCGAAAUCUCCACACCGUACGAUUACAAAGCUAACCUUACAUCCCAGCCGUCCAUGAGUUGGUACACUUCCCUUGUUCGUCUUCUCCAUUUUUUUUUCUCUCCCCUGGAUGAGCUCUCGAUAGGGGGAAAAAAAAGGGCUGAAGAAAGAAAUCGAGGCGGAGAAAAAUUGAAGUCUUUAGGCUCCAUCCUGGCUGGAAUUGCUCAUUCGCUUUUGGUUUUAUCGUAGAUGGUUUGUAGAAGGAGGCUCUUGAAUCGAAUGCCCUAAUCUAUGAUGUUAACGUCGAGACCCCUUUUGUACCCUAAUUUCCCCGUGCUUGUAACAUCAUCAAGCCCUAGCUUUGGCUGCAAAAGCUGGCAUUUUCCGCGCUGCAAAUCCCCCACGAGUUUCAGACUACACGCACAAAACGGCGGCAAUGAUCUGGGAAAUGGUCUCGGUGGGAAAGACGAAGUACGAGGGGGAAACGAACCGAUCAGUAACGGGAAUGGCUCGAGGAAAGAGGGAUGGCUAGGGUUCAAUCUCCGGUGGGGCGAUCUCUUGAAUCCGGAUCCGGACAAUUUCGUGGCCAUCGGACUAGCCGGAGUGCUGACAUGGGCGAGCGUUCAGGUCCUGUCUCAGCUCCUCUUCAUCUCUCUCGCCAUUCUUGUUGCUGCUCUCAAGUACUCCUUCAUUGCCGCCCUCCUCAUUUUCAUCCUCAUCACCCUCCUCUAAGGCCUGCCAUUCUAUGCUCUAUGGGUAUUGUACAUUUCCAUUAACAUGGUUAUUCAAGAUUUUUAGACUAUUUGCAUUCAAAUCUGAAACUAUUAGACUGUAUGUUUCAUUAUCCCAGCUGGUACGUAUGGGAUCGGGUCAAUGAAUUCAAACUCGUGAGACCCUGUCAGUCAA
Molecule: long non-coding RNA, 1187 nt
Organism: Tarenaya hassleriana
Lineage: Eukaryota; Viridiplantae; Streptophyta; Magnoliopsida; Brassicales; Cleomaceae
Exons: 4
Source: RefSeq, a predicted model, not a curated record